UACGGCUCAGUAACACGUAGUCAACCUAACCUAUGGACGGGGAUAACCUCGGGAAACUGAGAAUAAUACCCGAUAGAUCAUGAUACCUGGAACGGUUUAUGGUUCAAAUGAUUUAUCGCCAUAGGAUGGGACUGCGGUCUAUCAGCUUGUUGGUGAGGUAAUGGCCCACCAAGGCUAUAACAGAUACGGGCUCUGAGAGGAGGGGCCCGGAGAUGGGUACUGAGACACGGACCCAGGUCCUAUGGGGCGCAGCAGGCGAGAAACCUUUGCAAUGUGCGAAAGCACGACAAGGUUAAUCCGAGUGAUUCCUGCUAAAGGAAUCUUUUGUUAGUCAUAAAACCACUGAUGAAUAAGGGGUGGGCAAGUUCUGGUGUCAGCCGCCGCGGUAAUACCAGCACCUCGAGUGGUCAGGAGGUUUAUUGGGCCUAAAGCAUCCGUAGCCGGCUGUUCAAGUUUCCGGUUAAAUCCACACGCUUAACGUAUGGGCUGCCGGAAAUACUGUUCAGCUAGGGAGUGGGAGAGGUAGACGGUACUCGAUAGGAAGGGGUAAAAUCCUUUGAUCUAUUGAUGACCACCUGUGGCGAAGGCGGUCUACCAGAACACGUUCGACGGUGAGGGAUGAAAGCUGGGGGAGCAAACCGGAUUAGAUACCCGGGUAGUCCCAGCUGUAAACGAUGCAGACUCGGUGAUGCAUUGGCUUGUGGCCAGUGCAGUGCCGCAGGGAAGCCGUUAAGUUUGCCGCCUGGGAAGUACGUACGCAAGUAUGAAACUUAAAGGAAUUGGCGGGGGAGCACCACAAGGGGUGAAGCCUGCGGUUCAAUUGGAUUCAACGCCGGGA
RNAcentral lists this ribosomal RNA (838 nucleotides) under uncultured archaeon. Its description in RNAcentral is "bacterial SSU rRNA". It matches the Rfam family "Archaeal small subunit ribosomal RNA", at positions 84 to 923 of the family's 1478-position model. The record is from RNAcentral.